RNAcentral lists this transfer RNA (79 nucleotides) under Bimuria novae-zelandiae CBS 107.79. It matches the Rfam family "tRNA". Rfam says of the family: Transfer RNA (tRNA) molecules are approximately 80 nucleotides in length. The record is from Rfam by way of RNAcentral. Lineage: Eukaryota; Fungi; Ascomycota; Dothideomycetes; Pleosporales; Didymosphaeriaceae.
GCCCGCUUGGCUCAGUGGUAGAGCGUAUCACUAGUAUUCCGCUAUGAUAAGGUCGUCAGUUCAAUUCUGACAGUGGGCA